GCUCUACAUGCAGUCGAACGCACAGCGAAAGGUGCUUGCACCUUUCAAGUGAGUGGCGAACGGGUGAGUAACACGUGGACAACCUGCCUCAAGGCUGGGGAUAACAUUUGGAAACAGAUGCUAAUACCGAAUAAAACUUAGUGUCGCAUGACACAAAGUUAAAAGGCGCUUCGGCGUCACCUAGAGAUGGAUCCGCGGUGCAUUAGUUAGUUGGUGGGGUAAAGGCCUACCAAGACAAUGAUGCAUAGCCGAGUUGAGAGACUGAUCGGCCACAUUGGGACUGAGACACGGCCCAAACUCCUACGGGAGGCUGCAGUAGGGAAUCUUCCACAAUGGGCGAAAGCCUGAUGGAGCAACGCCGCGUGUGUGAUGAAGGCUUUCGGGUCGUAAAGCACUGUUGUAUGGGAAGAACAGCUAGAAUAGGAAAUGAUUUUAGUUUGACGGUACCAUACCAGAAAGGGACGGCUAAAUACGUGCCAGCAGCCGCGGUAAUACGUAUGUCCCGAGCGUUAUCCGGAUUUAUUGGGCGUAAAGCGAGCGCAGACGGUUUAUUAAGUCUGAUGUGAAAGCCCGGAGCUCAACUCCGGAAUGGCAUUGGAAACUGGUUAACUUGAGUGCAGUAGAGGUAAGUGGAACUCCAUGUGUAGCGGUGGAAUGCGUAGAUAUAUGGAAGAACACCAGUGGCGAAGGCGGCUUACUGGACUGCAACUGACGUUGAGGCUCGAAAGUGUGGGUAGCAAACAGGAUUAGAUACCCUGGUAGUCCACACCGUAAACGAUGAACACUAGGUGUUAGGAGGUUUCCGCCUCUUAGUGCCGAAGCUAACGCAUUAAGUGUUCCGCCUGGGGAGUACGACCGCAAGGUUGAAACUCAAAGGAAUUGACGGGGACCCGCACAAGCGGUGGAGCAUGUGGUUUAAUUCGAAGCAACGCGAAGAACCUUACCAGGUCUUGACAUCCUUUGAAGCUUUUAGAGAUAGAAGUGUUCUCUUCGGAGACAAAGUGACGGGGGGGGCAUGGUCGUCGUCAGCUCGUGUCGUGAGAUGUUGGGUUAAGUCCCGC
Molecule: ribosomal RNA, 1061 nt
Filed under: Leuconostoc mesenteroides
Lineage: Bacteria; Bacillati; Bacillota; Bacilli; Lactobacillales; Lactobacillaceae
Description: bacterial SSU rRNA
Rfam family: Bacterial small subunit ribosomal RNA
Source: RNAcentral